CAGCAAUGCUGCAUUCAGUACUGUCUUUCAACCUAUCUGAUUACUGCCUUCUUAAUUAUAUUUCCGUAUAGAAAUGAAUGAUUUUUUUCAUGAUUGGAGUCUAAGCUACGUCAAAGGGUGUUGAACCUCACCCAGAGAAGAAUCAGGCAUAAUCAGGUAAUUCUCAUGCACAUUAAAAUUUGAGGCCUCUAACUAAAGUGUUGCAUUUAAAAGUUAUCAGUGGCCUUUGAAAUUCUUUUCAGCAGGUAGAGCAAAUAUUACGCAAUCUGCCUAUGAGAAAUACACGCCUCAUGUACAGUUCAAGCUUCUAGGGAUCCUGCUGGGACACGAAGUUGGAAAGGAAGGCUGGAAGCAAACCUCCAUGAGUUCAGGAGCUUCAAGGAGAGGAACUCUACCAACAACCACAGGAACCUGGA
Molecule: long non-coding RNA, 416 nt
Filed under: Vulpes vulpes (red fox)
Lineage: Eukaryota; Metazoa; Chordata; Mammalia; Carnivora; Canidae
Description: lncRNA (ENSVVUG00000009705.1)
Source: RNAcentral